Molecule: non-coding RNA, 214 nt
Filed under: Pontibacillus halophilus
Lineage: Bacteria; Bacillati; Bacillota; Bacilli; Caryophanales; Bacillaceae
Description: T-box sequence
Rfam family: T-box leader
About the family: Uncharged tRNA acts as the effector for transcription antitermination of genes in the T-box leader family. T-boxes are found upstream of many aminoacyl-tRNA synthetase genes and some amino acid biosynthetic genes usually in Gram-positive bacteria.
Source: RNAcentral
CGAAAGACGUUAAAAAGGAGUAGUAAUAUCCGGAGAUGUAGUUAGAGAGAUAGCGGUUGGUGUAAGCUAUCCUUCUCCCGUAUGAACUCGCCUUUUAGUUGCGAACCUGAACAUAAGAGUAAGGUUCGACGUAUUCCGCGUUAAGGAGAAGAGCGAGUGAAGACAAUUCACUAACUUGGGUGGUACCGCGGGUGGAAGACCUCUCGUCCCAGAU